RNAcentral lists this ribosomal RNA (253 nucleotides) under uncultured bacterium. RNAcentral describes it as "partial 16S ribosomal RNA". It matches the Rfam family "Bacterial small subunit ribosomal RNA", at positions 524 to 776 of the family's 1533-position model. The record is from RNAcentral.
UACGAAGGGGGCUAGCGUUGCUCGGAAUCACUGGGCGUAAAGCGCACGUAGGCGGACUCUUAAGUCGGUGGUGAAAUCCUGGAGCUCAACUCCAGAACUGCCUUCGAUACUGAGAGUCUCGAGUCCGGGAGAGGUGAGUGGAACUGCGAGUGUAGAGGUGAAAUUCGUAGAUAUUCGCAAGAACACCAGUGGCGAAGGCGGCUCACUGGCCCAUUACUGACGCUGAGGUGCGAAAGCGUGGGGAGCAAACAGG